UGGGGGAUAUUGCACAAUGGGCGAAAGCCUGAUGCAGCGACGCCGCGUGAGGGAAGACGGCCUUCGGGUUGUGAAACCUCUGUCUUUGGGGACGAUAAUGACGGUACCAAGGAGGAAGCUCCGGCUAACUACGUGCCAGCAGCCGCGGUAAUACGUAGGGAGCGAGCGUUGUCCGGAAUUACUGGGUGUAAAGGGAGCGUAGGCGGGAAUGCAAGUUGGAUGUGAAAAACUCCGGGCUUAACCCGGAGACUGCAUUCAAAACUGUAUUUCUUGAGUGAUGUAGAGGCAGGCGGAAUUCCUAGUGUAGCGGUGAAAUGCGUAGAUAUUAGGAGGAACACCAGUGGCGAAGGCGGCCUGCUGGGCAUUUACUGACGCUGAGGCUCGAAAGUGUGGGGAGCAAACAGGAUUAGAUACCC
RNAcentral lists this ribosomal RNA (416 nucleotides) under uncultured bacterium. Its description in RNAcentral is "bacterial SSU rRNA". It matches the Rfam family "Bacterial small subunit ribosomal RNA", at positions 355 to 787 of the family's 1533-position model. The record is from RNAcentral.